UUUACAACAAAAUUAUUAAUAAUUGUCAAAAUAUAAAAACUGAAAUUCAACUAAGAAAUAUAAUAUUCAAGACAAGAAAGUCGAAGGAAUAGACAAUCUCAUGGUAACAAAACAAUUAUAACUUCCAUUGGAUGACAAAAUAAUACAAACCGACUCCCAACUUGAUUAGUGAAAAAUCAAUAAAUAAACAAACAGCGAGAUGGUGGACAACACUACAGUUCUGAAAAUGGCAGGAACCAAGAAAACCCAAUAUGGUGACCAAAGUAACAUGUUUCUUCACCUAAGGAUUUGGCAACGUCCCGCGCCGACACGCUUGGAGGUCCAAACAAAACUGGCUGCACUAUUUUUGCCCCUAUGUUUCCAGACACAAAGCCGCUCCGUCAACGCCACACAAACCUAGUGCUAAAAUACGCGCGCCUAUCUACGUCAUCAUCUCUGUCCUUUUACUUUUUUCCCUCCCUGCUCAGAAAUACAGAUCACAUCGAGCGAGGAAAACUUGCUUUCUUCUUCUUUUAUAAAAGUCUUUUCUGGAUCUAGCACGACCGCUGGCUAAAGAGAUGUCCCUUAUUCCUCUUGCUACUUCCAAUCAAUAACAUUACGGCCACCCAUUUACAGAUGCGUUUCUUUCCUCCUACCUGUCCUUAAAAAUCAUCUAUUCAAAUCAUACAUUCAACUUUGGAAUGGGGACACCUAUUGAAAUUAUCGUUCCCCGUGACCUCUGUAGGCAUAGCCAAUCCUUUAAUCAAAAGAAUAGAUUGAAGAUCAAGAAACUUUUUCGCCUGAAACAUUUACAUUGCCAACUAGGAUUUCUAUUAAGUGCCACCUUCCCAAGGCUUUUGUCACAAUGAAGUUUCCAUCCCAAUCUUAUGAUUGAGGGGCCUUACCUUUUUUUAAUUAUUUUUUUUUUCUGUUAGUGGAGAAGGAGACUCGGUACUUACAAAAUCAAAAUUAAAGUGCCUUGUGCCCUAUUGCUAUCUAUGGCAUAUUGCUACCGGAAAAAAAAAAUUAUAUGCAACCACAGAUAACAUCCCAAUAAAAUUGUGGUCUUUGUCAUGACAUGGUGCCAUACAGAUCAAGAAACCAGAUAAGCCCCAAUGAUUUAAUAGUGAUGACAAUUGACAAACUAUCUCCUUUCAAUGUGCAAUAAGAAUGCGUGUGAGAGGAAUCUUAGCUCUCGCUGGGAAUCCACUCUGAUAGUUAACUCUCAAGUUAAUGAAUGAUGAAUAAUAGAAGAUCUUAGAGCUUAGAGAGUACCUUGGGAGAUUCUGCGUAUAAAUAGGCUUGAGAUAUAGGAUUCUAUUGACCCAUCUUUCCUCAAGUCUGUCCUUAGUUGGAAAACUCUAUCCAGUGUAGUUAUCCCCAAAAAUAGGAUGGCAUGUUUCUAUACAAAUAGCUAGUUUGUCUUUGGCUACUCAUCUGUUCAGCUGCUCAGCCAUUUGGCUACACUGUCAUCAACUAGUGCAUCUAGGCCAAUGAUUUCAUGCUGAAGACAUAUACAGAAGAAUCUGAGGGUCCCUUUUUUCUGCACAAAGAAAUUGCUUUCAUGCUGAUUCUGAAAACCAUAUACAUAAAACUAUUAUCAACGGCACUGUCAAAGUCUGUUUCGCUUCUUAUCACUUUGCAGCUUUAUUUACCAACCCACAAGUAGAGUUUAAUAUGGCUCCAAGUUUCUACUCACUUUGUAAAGACAAACGAGGAAAUAUUUUGAUACAGUUUGGUUGAAAGCAUUACUCAGUGGGUUAUAACAAAUUCCUACCAGAACAAAAACAUUAAGCAAUGUGAUUCAAAAUAACUAUGGGGAGAUGCCAUACCAAAAUUGCAUUCCACAGGAAAUAAAAUCGUCAGGAGCUAUCCAUUGGAUUGUAAACCUUUGCCACCAUAAUACUGCUUGGUAGUUUCACGUGAGAAUUCUGCAAAUGUCAUUCCAUCCUUCAACCGCGAUGAGAGUGGUGGAACAAUUUUAUGAAUAUCUUGAGUAAAUUCAUUUAAGCCAUGCUUGAUGCCAUUUCCCUCAGAUAAGUUACCAACUGACACACCAUGUUCCACAGUGUAAUCUGUGAUUGAGAAGGUUUUGCUCCAUGCAGGCUGCAGAAACACAACAAAAGUUUCUCUGCUUAAAUUUUCAAACUUCAAUGGUCUGCGCACACAGUGUAGGGUUGAACGAAGCUUUCCUUUUGAUAAAAUAUCAGCUGAUUCCCCAACCUGAAUGAUGAAACUUUCAGGAGAAGUCUUUACCAUGAGGACAUUAUUAUUGUUCGGAUCAAAGAUUUGCAAAUAUGAAUAGCCAUUGGGAUAAGGGCAUUCUUGAUCAGAUGAUAGUGAAGAUUGAUCUGUGACCAUAUUUUCUGAUAAAUAUGAGGGCAGAAGAAACAUUGGUGCUGUCAAAAUAGUAAAGAUACCAUAAUCAUAAUGCCAUUGCUGCCAUAAAUCCAUAUCAUUUCCUCGUGAUCCAACCUUAAUGCCAUUUGUAACAAAGUUUGAACCUUGUAAUUGUUUUUGCUCACUUCUUAAACAGUGUUCUUGGUUCUUUUUGGAAUUGGCCUGCUUUUUGGUGGGUCCCUUCCUUCUCCCAGUUUCUCUCAUUAAAAGUUUAUCUAGAAUUGAAUGAUAAUGUAUAAGGCGCCCUUUCGCAGUGCCAGAUUCUAAUAAGCUUCGUUCUAACUCUUGGCCACCAAUGAACUCAUCACACAUUUGGGCAAGACGGAGCCCCAGCUCCAUCAUAAAAUAUCCUAAAUCUUUAAAGAAAUCUCCAAGAUUUUUAAAUUCAUCUUCAUGAAAUUUUCUCACCUCAUCAACAUCCAGAUGAGUUGGUUCUAAAUUCAAGCGUACGUCAUGACUUGGCUUAAUGGGAGCAGAUUUCAGAGCUUCCACAUAUUUGAGUUGCAUUGCAAAAGAAGACACAUUCCUAUCAGGAUUCUUAAGAGGAACAUCACUCCCCAAGUUGUGUUCCUUGAGAAGGCGUUUGCGGCACUCGUGGUCGAGAAGAGCAAGCUUGCGAGCAAGAGGGAGGAGGUUGCGGCGAAGAAGAAGAGCGUUAGGGACGCCAACGAUGGAAAGGAGACCUGGGCCUUUAGGGCCUAGGGUUUCAAUGAUAGUUGUCCUUAUGGUUUGCAGUCUUGCUAGUUCUUCUUCCGGUGACGAUAAAGAAACGCUAUGAUUCGAAGCUGAACAUGAGGAGAGUAGCAUCAAAUCAGCGUAAUGAACUUCGUACAGCUCCAACACCUGCAUUUGCUCCAUCUGUGAUUUCUG
This 3249-nucleotide unclassified non-coding RNA is filed under the name Hevea brasiliensis (rubber tree). The record is from RNAcentral. Lineage: Eukaryota; Viridiplantae; Streptophyta; Magnoliopsida; Malpighiales; Euphorbiaceae.